UGGGAAUUUUGGACAAUGGGCGAAAGCCUGAUCCAGCAAUGCCGCGUGUGUGAAGAAGGCCUUCGGGUUGUAAAGCACUUUUGUCCGGAAAGAAAUCCUUGGCUCUAAUACAGUCGGGGGAUGACGGUACCGGAAGAAUAAGCACCGGCUAACUACGUGCCAGCAGCCGCGGUAAUACGUAGGGUGCAAGCGUUAAUCGGAAUUACUGGGCGUAAAGCGUGCGCAGGCGGUUUGCUAAGACCGAUGUGAAAUCCCCGGGCUCAACCUGGGAACUGCAUUGGUGACUGGCAGGCUAGAGUAUGGCAGAGGGGGGUAGAAUUCCACGUGUAGCAGUGAAAUGCGUAGAGAUGUGGAGGAAUACCGAUGGCGAAGGCAGCCCCCUGGGCCAAUACUGACGCUCAUGCACGAAAGCGUGGGGAGCAAACAGGAUUAGAUACCCUGGUAGUCCACGCCCUAAACGAUGUCAACUAGUUGUUGGGGAUUCAUUUCUUAGUAACGUAGCUAACGCGUGAAGUUGACCGCCUGGGGAGUACGGUCGCAAGAUUAAAACUCAAAGGAAUUGACGGGGUCAUAGCUGUUUCCU
RNAcentral lists this ribosomal RNA (583 nucleotides) under uncultured bacterium. RNAcentral's name for it is "partial 16S ribosomal RNA". It matches the Rfam family "Bacterial small subunit ribosomal RNA", at positions 356 to 1375 of the family's 1533-position model. The record is from RNAcentral.